This 870-nucleotide ribosomal RNA is filed under the name Botryosphaeria dothidea. RNAcentral's name for it is "eukaryotic LSU rRNA". The stretch from base 472 to 870 matches the Rfam family "Eukaryotic large subunit ribosomal RNA", at positions 1 to 396 of the family's 3401-position model. The record is from RNAcentral. Lineage: Eukaryota; Fungi; Ascomycota; Dothideomycetes; Botryosphaeriales; Botryosphaeriaceae.
GAUCCUCCCACCCUUUGUGUACCUACCUCUGUUGCUUUGGCGGGCCGCGGUUCUCCGCGGCCGCCCCCCUCCCCGGGGGGUGGCCAGCGCCCGCCAGAGGACCAUCAAACUCCAGUCAGUAAACGAUGCAGUCUGAAAAACAUUUAAUAAACUAAAACUUUCAACAACGGAUCUCUUGGUUCUGGCAUCGAUGAAGAACGCAGCGAAAUGCGAUAAGUAAUGUGAAUUGCAGAAUUCAGUGAAUCAUCGAAUCUUUGAACGCACAUUGCGCCCUUUGGUAUUCCGAAGGGCAUGCCUGUUCGAGCGUCAUUACAACCCUCAAGCUCUGCUUGGUAUUGGGCACCGUCCUUUGCGGGCGCGCCUCAAAGACCUCGGCGGUGGCGUCUUGCCUCAAGCGUAGUAGAACAUACAUCUCGCUUCGGAGCGCAGGGCGUCGCCCGCCGGACGAACCUUCUGAACUUUUCUCAAGGUUGACCUCGGAUCAGGUAGGGAUACCCGCUGAACUUAAGCAUAUCAAUAAGCGGAGGAAAAGAAACCAACAGGGAUUGCCUUAGUAACGGCGAGUGAAGCGGCAACAGCUCAAAUUUGAAAGCUGGCUCCUUUGGAGUCCGCGUUGUAAUUUGUAGAGGAUGAUUCGGCAAGGGCUCCCGCCUAAGUCUCCUGGAACGGAGCGUCAUAGAGGGUGAGAAUCCCGUAUGCGGUGGGCUGCCUAAGCCAUGUGAAUCUCCUUCGACGAGUCGAGUUGUUUGGGAAUGCAGCUCUAAAUGGGGAGGUAAAUUUCUUCUAAGCUAAAUACCGGGCCAGAGACCGAUAGCGCACAAGUAGAGUGAUCGAAAGAUGAAAAGCACUUUGGAAAGAGAGUUAAAAAGU